Molecule: microRNA, 22 nt
Filed under: Ornithorhynchus anatinus (platypus)
Lineage: Eukaryota; Metazoa; Chordata; Mammalia; Monotremata; Ornithorhynchidae
Description: oan-miR-7406-5p
Source: miRBase by way of RNAcentral
CAGCGCUUAACGGGUGCCGUCG